GCCACAGUAGUAAAAUUGGAUUAUGUUACUUUGAUGAGGUAGAGUUUUUUAUGUGGUU
RNAcentral lists this transfer RNA (58 nucleotides) under Aspiculuris sp. PC-2022. RNAcentral's name for it is "tRNA-Ile". The record is from RNAcentral. Lineage: Eukaryota; Metazoa; Nematoda; Chromadorea; Rhabditida; Heteroxynematidae.